Molecule: long non-coding RNA, 2308 nt
Organism: Uranotaenia lowii
Lineage: Eukaryota; Metazoa; Arthropoda; Insecta; Diptera; Culicidae
Exons: 6
Source: RefSeq, a predicted model, not a curated record
UUCCUACACAGUAAACGAAAAUUACCGAGUUCGGUAAUUUAUUUUACAGAACCAGUUCUGUAAUUCGAAAAAUUUCGGUAAUUGAUCAGUUUGACAUCUUAUUUUUACCGAGUUCGGUGAAUCGAUUCUUGAUUUUACGAAGCUCGUUUAUUUUGUGUAAACAAAUCGGUUUGUCAUCAUUGUUCGGUAAAAAAACGCCGAAAAAAUCUGUAAAACAAUCCUGCCGUCAUGUGCCGCUGUCAAAACCAACGUCAAACCUCGUCUCACUCUCACAGCCGUGAUAAACUAUUGCAUCUCGCUUCCGCCAAAGAAAAGCAACAAAUAUCUGUCCAGCCGGCCAGCCAUCUCGUUUUUUCAUUUUCUUUUUCAAGAACGCGAGCGGGAUGUCUAGCAUCAAGCUGUCGUUGGAGCAGUUGCGAGCAAAAACAAAACGUGUAUUGCAAUUGUGAAAACUACAACGUAAAUUUCUGGCAGUACUAAUUGUUUUCAACUUAAUGUUGUUUUGUAAGUAUAGCCAUUGCAAUUUUUCGUACCCAUGUAUUCAAUCAGACCAUAAUUUUUCCAGCUUCCAUUAUCAUACGGGAACACCGAAAACCAGCAAAAAUCUAAAGACUGACGAUGGAACAAAAAAUCAAGUGGAAAAAUACCUGGUUUCAUUCACAGAAAGCUAGUGUUUACAGUUCCGUUCUAUCGUAUCUCGAAAUCACGAGCAUCCGGAAUAAAUGCUCUACAAAUUCUUGUUUUCUUCGACUUGGCUGUCAGCAUCCUGUUCAUGUUAUCGUUUGCUUCCUCCAAUGAGGAGCCACCUGGAACUAAGGGAACUAAAUGUGAUUUCUAGUAGUGUGACAAGGAAUUUAGAUAUGCAAAUCCGAACCGAUCUGAUUUGUGGAAGUUGUGGUAGUAACUCUUGUGUUUAAAUUAAAAUGCAAUAAUUAUGAUUUAAAUGUGUCGUUCUCCAAAUGAUUACCACUGUUUUCCCACUACCAGUGUCUUUCCCCAGCUACAACCCGCGGUUCUGAAGUUUCCGAAUCAGCACCAGAAAUCGGGGGUUAUUCUGCGACUCGAGUGACGUGACUUUCGAAAUUUCAUAUCGUUUUGCUGAUCUCAUGACAUGAGUCAUGACACUCGAGUCGCAGAAUAAUCCCCAUCAUUCCAGCAGGCCGUCAUUAGCGAGCUCGAUAAUAGUUCACCUUCUUCAAAUCUAACCCUCGUUUACACUUUGUACCUUUGUGCCAGGUACCUUGCCUUCACCCACUAUACUGUCCCGAUUUAUACUCCAACCGAGCAUGCUAAAAUUAACAGUUUUCCUCUUUCACAUAAUAAAUCUGAUCCAGAACGUCGUUCAGAAGCAGAUGCCAAAAUCCUGUUCUUGUGGGUGUCCAAUAGAUCCGAGUUUCUGCACAUUUCACACAACUUUGGCUUUUAGCGUCCAGGCGCUGAAAGUUCUCGCCGAGAGAGCUCUGACGGCGAAAUUUAAUAUCGAUUUCCAGGUCAAACUGUCCCAAACGCAGUCGUAACACGUAUCACGAUUCCGCCGCUGGACUGGUACUUUCCGUGCUCGAAUCGGUUAUGGCCAUGCUGCGAAGGUAUCGGGCCAACGCUGCCCUCACUGAUUGUGUGUAUUUACGAGCGGUGAAUUGUACCUGCGUAUUAACUUCGGGAAGAUAAUUGUUGACAACACCACAAUGCAGCUGGUUAGCAACACGAAUCAGUUUGUCGUGAUGGUUGCCCCUAAUUUGUACGGAAACAUAAUCGACAAUAUCGCUCCAGGUUUAGUUGGUGGUACUGGUGUUGUUGGUGGAGCUUUCUACACGACCGAGCAUGCCGUUUUUGAAAAGGAAGAACAUCACGCUUUCGCCAAGGGCCUGAUGAUUUUACAAACCGUCCAGAAGGUGCUGAAAUGGGAUAGGGUUCGCGUUAACCCCCUGGGCGGCCAAUCGACCAUCAAAGACUUAACCCAGGCUGUUACCGACAAUUUGCGAUAAGCGAAAAUAUAAUUUAAGUUUUUGAUGUUCAAUUGUAUGUUGGCACAUUCAUCACCUCUCUACCAAAUGUGAUAGGAUGUUGGAGGCUGAAAUCAUCAAAUGCCAAAAGCCAGUGUUCACCGUGAUAAGAAAUUUAGUUGACCCUGACAUCCCAUCAACCACCAAAUAUCGAAAAAUUUCAAAUGCUAUGCGAAAAAAUCAACCAACCAUUACUUAAGCAAUUGCUAUCUGUAAUUAAAUAUAAAUCUGUAAUUAAACAUAAUAUUAUUGAUAUUCUUGAAAUUCUUUUAAUACUUGUGAAUCAAGUUGUGAUGUUGUGAAAA